AGCCCUAAAAAAAGUCAAAAUUGAGGUUGGCAAAACAGUGCGUCAAUGCCAACCUAAAUCUGACACAGGUCGGCACCUCUCUGGCUGCAUUUUUUAGAUCAGAUACUAUCUUCACAUUGUAAUUUCAAAGCGGCAGCAACCAUCAGUAGCACAACCCAAAUUUUGUGUUUCCCACAACCAUAUUUUUAAUAUUCCUACGGCUGCUUCCAUUAGAAUUGUUAUGUAUUCGACGAACUUCACAGUUUCCCUGACUGUGUUAUGGAAGAUCACAAGCUAGUAGUACCAAGAUACCAUCUGGCAUCAAAGUUGUAUGACUUGGUGUUGAAAGAACAACAAACAAACACAAUAUCCUUUUGAAUAGUUGUCAGCAGAUGAAAAAAGAUAAUUCUACUGAGAAGAACUUGAUUGAGCCGUUGACAGAUCAGUAUUUAGGUCGGUAGUCAGCACUGCCAAAUGCUGACCUAGCUUGUAUCUGAGGGGUGUAUUUAGCUUAUAGUAGGUAUCUUUAGUUUGUAUAUUUAAUUAUAGUGGUUAACAAUAUGUGUAGCUGUAGGUCAUACCAUGCUGCUGUAUUGCUUAGAUGGUUAGAGCACUGUACUGGAAUCGCAGUUCGAUUCCAGCCAGGAAACUAAAGUUGCAUUUUUCGCUGCUGUCCUGGUUAGGUC
Paramuricea clavata is the source of this 665-nucleotide non-coding RNA. The record is from the annotation of a GenBank genome assembly. Lineage: Eukaryota; Metazoa; Cnidaria; Anthozoa; Malacalcyonacea; Plexauridae.